Long non-coding RNA from Betta splendens (Siamese fighting fish), 2054 nucleotides. The record is from Ensembl. NCBI's taxonomy places the organism in Eukaryota, Metazoa, Chordata, Actinopteri, Anabantiformes, Osphronemidae.
AUUUGGGAGAAACGUGCUUUCAGCAAAGUGUUUAAACAAAGUGUCUGUUUUGCAUUUUUUGGCAAAACAGUCCGGCCUCUUUGUUUGUCUUCACAGUGGAACUGAAUCACCUAUUUCCUCUGGGAGCCCAGGAAAAACUUUUCUGACAUUUUGGAUAAUUGAAAUACACAAACAUAAUUGCUGGAAAUACACUUUGUCAUGCAGAGUUUUUCUUCUGCAAGUCACCCAAAAUAAACAGCUGGACUUUUCCUAUGAAGUCCAGUUGUCUGGAAAACCUGGAUUAAACCUUCAGUAUGUUUAAAAUCCAUUUGGUUUAUUUAUUACACGUGAGGCUUUCAGAGUAAACAUGCUGCGAAUUUCUAUGAGAGAAACGAGCUCAGGCUGUUUUUAUUUUUUCAUUUUCCUCCAAAACACAGAGCUGCUUUGUUCUUUAACAAUGCUUCCUGCCCGUUAGAGCUGGAGGCGGGACCCGGCGCGAUGCUCCUCUCCAGCUGGGUUACAAUGGGACGUCGUGUUACCUGGCUCCACCACGGGACAGGAAGCAGGAACCGGUUGCAGCUCAUGGGAGAUAAUGGGAGCCAUGCGGAGAAGCAGGGAUUCGCCGUGGGCCUUGUUCCACAUCAGCACAUCCACACUGUCUGAACAGGAAGCAGCCUUUCCUGUCAGUCCCCCAAUCAGUGCGUGUCCCUGCCCUUACAGUCACACAAAUACACUUCAUCGUGAAUAAACAUCAGUUACUCCCAUGGCAGAGUGGUUUACUGCAGGAGGUGCUACUGUGUGAGCUGAAAAGUAAUGAAACUAUGCUAUGCUAAUCAGCAGAAGACGGACCGAACCACAACGAACUGGAAAACCAGACUGCACCUUGACCGGGUCCCAGCGCCGCAGGAAGCGCCGGGGCAGAUUUGUGGUGCGGGGCUGUCAGACAACUGUAAUCCACGCUGAUCUCAUCAGCGCCGAAGCAACAACAAACAGAGCAAGAGAAGGAAGGGAGCAGCUGCAGCUCCGACAGCUCCUGCGUCUCUGGUUUGGUUUGAUGACACUUUGCUAUAUCUGACAGCUGCUGUGCAGAACGGGCAAAGUCCACACCAGACCAACGGGAAGCGUCAUCACCUGUAGCUGAUAACCGUGUCCAGCGCUGUGGGUUCAGGAUCAUUUGAAGUGAGUAAACCUAUUGGUUGCUCCCCUCUGAGACGCACAAGUCGAUGCUUAUUUGUAAAUUUACUCUUUAAUGAAUGUGGUGGAGCAUGAAUAGCCUGUUCAAACAGAGGCUCACAGGCCACAUGUGGCUUAAAAGCAAACUUUGCCAGUCCCCCCUGAGUCCCUGAAUGCAACACCCCUGUUUUCCAUAUUUGACAUAGGAUCUGGACUCAGACAUGAUUAGAAAGGAUUCUGGCCACAGAUUCUGUUUCCUGCAGCAACAUGUGGGUGAUAAGAUGAGAUUAGGUCGGGGUGCACUCGCCUCCACUCUGACCCUGAACUCUGACCCCGUGUCUGAAGGACUUAAUACCUUUUCUCAUCAAGGUGGCAGUAACGCCACACUGUGUGUAAAUGUGUAAACAGGCCACAGGAUAAAAUCUAAGAAUGCGUUUUUCAAUCUAUACAUGUAAAAUUACCAAUGGAAGCUGCAAUUCGUUCUUGUCUGGACUCACUAGUACCAAUUUAUUCCACCAUUAAAUCCAGACCGCAUGAUAAUUUGCAUUGAGGCGUAGAACAAUGGCCUAGUUCAGGUGUCGCAUUGAAAUCCUUCUCCAACGGACUGAGCAGGAACGUGAUGGAUGCCCCGUCGUGUCACAGACGUAAGUGCUCUCAUACAUUACGCAGCACGUCGGACACUGCGUGACACAAAUGUGCGUCGAUGAUGGCUCAUUUUUCUUGCCACUCAUCCCUCUCUCACUCCUCCUCUGUGCGCCAAGGGCCUUUGGACAAACAGGGUAAAAAUACCAUCCAGUUACAGCCGGGUUGGGAGCUGGUAGCUGGAGCUGCUGGAGGCCGGCGGUAGGUUUUAUACAUAUGAACCUACAGCCAGUGUGACUGCCAGGGUAUACAAAACACAG